This 660-nucleotide ribosomal RNA is filed under the name uncultured Bacillota bacterium. RNAcentral's name for it is "bacterial SSU rRNA". It matches the Rfam family "Bacterial small subunit ribosomal RNA", at positions 265 to 916 of the family's 1533-position model. The record is from RNAcentral. Lineage: Bacteria; Bacillati; Bacillota.
CUACCAAGGUGAUGAUACGUAGCCGAACUGAGAGGUUGAUCGGCCACAUUGGGACUGAGACACGGCCCAAACUCCUACGGGAGGCAGCAGUAGGGAAUCUUCCACAAUGGACGAAAGUCUGAUGGAGCAACGCCGCGUGAAUGAAGAAGGCCUUCGGGUCGUAAAAUUCUGUUGUCAGAGAAGAACGUGCGUGAGAGUAACUGUUCACGUAUUGACGGUAUCUGACCAGAAAGCCACGGCUAACUACGUGCCAGCAGCCGCGGUAAUACGUAGGUGGCAAGCGUUGUCCGGAUUUAUUGGGCGUAAAGGGAACGCAGGCGGUCUUUUAAGUCUGAUGUGAAAGCCUUCGGCUUAACCGAAGUAGUGCAUUGGAAACUGGAAGACUUGAGUGCAGAAGAGGAGAGUGGAACUCCAUGUGUAGCGGUGAAAUGCGUAGAUAUAUGGAAGAACACCAGUGGCGAAAGCGGCUCUCUGGUCUGUAACUGACGCUGAGGUUCGAAAGCGUAGGUAGCAAACAGGAUUAGAUACCCUGGUAGUCCACGCCGUAAACGAUGAGUGCUAAGUGUUGGAGGGUUUCCGCCCUUCAGUGCUGCAGCUAACGCAUUAAGCACUCCGCCUGGGGAGUACGGUCGCAAGACUGCAACUCAAAUGAAUUGACGG